GACAGAGGGUGCGAACGUUGUUCGGAAUUACUGGGCGUAAAGCGCGUGUAGGCGGCAACGCAAGUCGGGCGUGAAAUCCCACGGCUCAACCGUGGAAGUGCACUCGAAACUGCGUAGCUAGAGUCCUGGAGAGGAGGGUGGAAUGCUUGGUGUAGAGGUGAAAUUCGUAGAUAUCAAGCGGAACACCGGUGGCGAAGGCGGCCUUCUGGACAGUGACUGACGCUGAGACGCGAAAGCGUGGGGAGCAAACAGG
RNAcentral lists this ribosomal RNA (253 nucleotides) under uncultured bacterium. Its description in RNAcentral is "partial 16S ribosomal RNA". It matches the Rfam family "Bacterial small subunit ribosomal RNA", at positions 524 to 776 of the family's 1533-position model. The record is from RNAcentral.